RNAcentral lists this ribosomal RNA (406 nucleotides) under uncultured bacterium. RNAcentral's name for it is "partial 16S ribosomal RNA". It matches the Rfam family "Bacterial small subunit ribosomal RNA", at positions 29 to 526 of the family's 1533-position model. The record is from RNAcentral.
AUUGAACGCUGGCGGCAGGCCUAACACAUGCAAGUCGAACGAGUGGCGGACGGGUGAGUAAUGUCUGGGAAACUGCCUGAUGGAGGGGGAUAACUACUGGAAACGGUAGCUAAUACCGCCUACCAUCAGCUGUGCCCAGAUGGGAUUAGCUAGUAGGUGGGGUAACGGCUCACCUAGGCGACGCUCCCUAGCUGGUCUGAGAGGAUGACCAGACACACUGGAACUGAGACAAGGUCCAUACUCCGACGGGAGGCAGCAGUGGGGAAGAUGGAACAAUGGGCGCAAGCCUGAUGCAGCCAUGCCGCGGGUAUGAAGAAGGCCUUCGGGUUGUAAAGUACUUUCAGCGGGGAGGCGUUACCCGCAGAAGAAGCACGGGCUAACUCCGUGCCAGCAGCCGCGGGAAUAC